RNAcentral lists this ribosomal RNA (505 nucleotides) under uncultured bacterium. RNAcentral describes it as "bacterial SSU rRNA". It matches the Rfam family "Bacterial small subunit ribosomal RNA", at positions 29 to 507 of the family's 1533-position model. The record is from RNAcentral.
AACGAACGCUGGCGGCGUGGAUUAGGCAUGCAAGUCGAACGCGAACGUCACCUUCGGGUGACUAGUAGAGUGGCGAACGGGUGAGGAACGCGUGAAGAACCUGCCUUCGACUGGGGGAUAACACUCCUAACGGGGUGCUAAUACCGCAUGAGACCACGGGAUCGCAUGAUCCUGAGGUCAAAGGUGGCCUCUAUUUAUAAGCUACCGGUCGAAGAUGGCUUCGCGUCCCAUUAGCUUGUUGGUGGUGUAACGGACCACCAAGGCAACGAUGGGUAGCUGGUCUGAGAGGAUGGUCAGCCACACUGGGACUGAGAUACGGCCCAGACUCCUACGGGAGGCAGCAGUCGAGAGGCUUCGGCAAUGGGGGAAACCCUGACCGAGCGACGCCGCGUGAGGGAUGAAGGCUUUCGGGUUGUAAACCUCUUUUGUUGGGGAAGAAAUGCGAUCAGGUGAAUAAUCUGGUCGUUUGACGGUACCCAACGAAUAAGCUCCGGCUAACUCCGUG